GAAAAUUAAAAAAGAUGGACGAAAGCCGAACUAUGGCUCAAAUCUCGGGGACCAACCAUGAAACUAUUUUGAAGAAAGAAGAUCACAAGCAAAAGAGAGGUAUUUUCUUCAUCAAUGAGCUUUAUCUAUGAAUGUAGAUUCUGUUCUUCUGCUUGCAAGUUGAUUCAAUUCCAUGCUACAUGUCAUAUUAUGUGUUUCUUUUUCUGUUUUUUAUUUUUAUUAUGGUUCUUCGAUGUUUAGUGUGAAUGUAGUUUAUUGCUGUUAUAAUUGCUUUUAGUUGCUUGUUCUUUGUAUUUUUGUUAUUUGUUUCGAUUUUGUGUUUCCCAACAGUUGUUUU
Molecule: long non-coding RNA, 337 nt
Filed under: Helianthus annuus (common sunflower)
Lineage: Eukaryota; Viridiplantae; Streptophyta; Magnoliopsida; Asterales; Asteraceae
Description: sRNA HanXRQr2_Chr02g0083701
Source: RNAcentral